Molecule: non-coding RNA, 114 nt
Organism: Acanthosepion pharaonis
Lineage: Eukaryota; Metazoa; Mollusca; Cephalopoda; Sepiida; Sepiidae
Source: the annotation of a GenBank genome assembly
UUACAGCCAUAUCACAUUGAAACACUGGUUCCCAUAUGAUCAACAAAGUUAAGCAAUGUCAAGCCUGAUCAGUACCUAGAUGGGGGACCAUUUGGGAAUAUCUGGUGCUGUAAG